This 73-nucleotide transfer RNA is filed under the name Cotesia glomerata. RNAcentral's name for it is "tRNA-Thr". The record is from RNAcentral. Lineage: Eukaryota; Metazoa; Arthropoda; Insecta; Hymenoptera; Braconidae.
AACCUAGUAGGUUAACUGGUAGAGUUCCUGAUAUGUAAUUAUAGAGGUCUGGGUUCGAUUCCCGGCUUAGUUU